This 591-nucleotide ribosomal RNA is filed under the name uncultured Photobacterium sp. RNAcentral's name for it is "bacterial SSU rRNA". It matches the Rfam family "Bacterial small subunit ribosomal RNA", at positions 85 to 678 of the family's 1533-position model. The record is from RNAcentral. Lineage: Bacteria; Pseudomonadati; Pseudomonadota; Gammaproteobacteria; Vibrionales; Vibrionaceae.
UUGCUGACGAGCGGCGGACGGGUGAGUAAUGCUUGGGAACAUGCCUUGAGGUGGGGGACAACAGUUGGAAACGACUGCUAAUACCGCAUAAUGUCUACGGACCAAAGGGGGCUUCGGCUCUCGCCUUUAGAUUGGCCCAAGUGGGAUUAGCUAGUUGGUGAGGUAAUGGCUCACCAAGGCGACGAUCCCUAGCUGGUUUGAGAGGAUGAUCAGCCACACUGGGACUGAGACACGGCCCAGACUCCUACGGGAGGCAGCAGUGGGGAAUAUUGCACAAUGGGCGCAACCCUGAUGCAGCCAUGCCGCGUGUGUGAAGAAGGCCUUCGGGUUGUAAAGCACUUUCAGUGGUGAGGAAAGGCAGAAAAUUAAUACUUUUCUGCUGUGACGUUAACCACAGAAGAAGCACCGGCUAACUUCGUGCCAGCAGCCGCGGUAAUACGAGGGGUGCAAGCGUUAAUCGGAAUAACUGGGCGUAAAGCGCACGCAGGCGGUUUGUUAAGCCAGAUGUGAAAGCCCCGAGCUCAACUCGGGAACUGCAUUUGGAACUGGCAAACUAGAGUCUUGUAGAGGGGGGUAGAAUUUCCAGUGUAG